This 276-nucleotide ribosomal RNA is filed under the name uncultured prokaryote. Its description in RNAcentral is "partial 16S ribosomal RNA". It matches the Rfam family "Bacterial small subunit ribosomal RNA", at positions 524 to 801 of the family's 1533-position model. The record is from RNAcentral.
CACGUAGGGGCUAGCGUUAUCCGGAAUUACUGGGCGUAAAGGGUGCGUAGGUGGUUUCUUAAGUCAGAGGUGAAAGGCUACGGCUCAACCGUAGUAAGCCUUUGAAACUGGGAAACUUGAGUGCAGGAGAGGAGAGUGGAAUUCCUAGUGUAGCGGUGAAAUGCGUAGAUAUUAGGAGGAACACCAGUUGCGAAGGCGGCUCUCUGGACUGUAACUGACACUGAGGCACGAAAGCGUGGGGAGCAAACAGGAUUAGAUACCCGCGUAGUCCCUGAG